AAUCUUGGGGGAUGAUUGAAGUCUGCUUGAUUGAAGCGGGGUCUGCAUAGUACACCUUUGCUGCAAUGUCAUCUCAGAACACCGGAGGAAUGAACACUUGAGAUGGAUAACAAAGUUGCUACCGUAUUAGCCUAUCUUGAGGGCAAUAGGUCCGUUGGAGAAGACUAUUCGUUACAGAGCAAUUUCGAGAAACCUUGCAACCCGGUAUGCCACGGAUGA
RNAcentral lists this long non-coding RNA (219 nucleotides) under Oncorhynchus kisutch (coho salmon). RNAcentral's name for it is "lncRNA (ENSOKIG00005038342.1)". Lineage: Eukaryota; Metazoa; Chordata; Actinopteri; Salmoniformes; Salmonidae. The record is from RNAcentral.